RNAcentral lists this ribosomal RNA (590 nucleotides) under uncultured bacterium. RNAcentral's name for it is "bacterial SSU rRNA". It matches the Rfam family "Bacterial small subunit ribosomal RNA", at positions 343 to 933 of the family's 1533-position model. The record is from RNAcentral.
GGGAGGCAGCAGUGAGGAAUAUUGGUCAAUGGACGCAAGUCUGAACCAGCCAUGCCGCGUGAAGGAUGACUGCCCUAUGGGUUGUAAACUUCUUUUAUAGAGGAAGAAACCUUUCUACGUGUAGAAAGCUGACGGUACUCUACGAAUAAGGACCGGCUAACUCCGUGCCAGCAGCCGCGGUAAUACGGAGGGUCCAAGCGUUAUCCGGAUUUAUUGGGUUUAAAGGGUCCGUAGGCGGGGUUUUAAGUCAGUGGUGAAAGCCUACAGCUCAACUGUAGAACUGCCAUUGAAACUGGAACUCUUGAAUGUGAUUGAAGUGGGCGGAAUAUGUCAUGUAGCGGUGAAAUGCUUAGAUAUGACAUAGAACACCGAUAGCGAAGGCAGCUCACUAAGUCAUGAUUGACGCUGAUGGACGAAAGCGUGGGGAGCGAACAGGAUUAGAUACCCUGGUAGUCCACGCCGUAAACGAUGAUCACUAGCUAUUGGCGAUACACAGUCAGUGGCACAGCGAAAGUGUUAAGUGAUCCACCUGGGGAGUACGAUCGCAAGGUUGAAACUCAAAGGAAUUGACGGGGGCCCGCACAAAGGGC